GGAGGAUUGGCAGAGCGGUUUAAUGCAACGGUUUUGAAAACCGUCGUCCCUUUGCGGGGACCGCAGGUUCGAAUCCUGUGUCCUCCGCCA
This 90-nucleotide transfer RNA is filed under the name Bdellovibrio sp. CG11_big_fil_rev_8_21_14_0_20_39_38. Its description in RNAcentral is "tRNA-Ser". It matches the Rfam family "tRNA". From Rfam's summary of the family: Transfer RNA (tRNA) molecules are approximately 80 nucleotides in length. Their secondary structure includes four short double-helical elements and three loops (D, anti-codon, and T loops). RNAcentral also lists the same sequence under 2 other names. The record is from RNAcentral. Lineage: Bacteria; Pseudomonadati; Bdellovibrionota; Bdellovibrionia; Bdellovibrionales; Pseudobdellovibrionaceae.